ACGUCUUCUUUAGGCCAAAAAAAAAAAACAAUCACGUCUUUGCUCUGAGGUUGAUGCUGUUGUCCUCUCGAGUUCUGGUUAACGGCGUGCGUCGGUGGUGGGCUCUCCAUUUUGUUGUCUCAUAUGUCGUCGGCGUUUGUCGCUCACUCGCUCCCCUCUCCUCCUUCACUUCAGCUUGUUCGUGUCGUAGGUGGUGGCCGGUGUGCUCAUGGCUUUCACAUCUCAGAGGAUGAACACGGGGCCAAGAACGAGCAUCGGCAACGCAGUCGAUGUCUGGCAGCGGGAGGUCGGCGAACUAUCUGGCAGGAAUUUCGUCCAGGGUCUCGGUGUCUAGGAUGUGUAAUGCACAUCUGUUGUACUUCUACAGUUCUACUUCAUCUUCUCUUAGGUUGGAUAUACCUGCAUAGCUGCUCGCCAAGCAUAGUGGCAAUGUUCUUUAGAGUUGUAAUGAAACUGAGCAAAUUACGUCUGCUUCCCUGCGUGCCAACCCUAAAACAUAGGCUUAACUAUGACUGUACAUUCCUCUAUUAUCUUGGCUUAUCUUCCUUUGUGAAGAGCUUUUCUCAAACACCGAAAUCAUACCAGUUAAACAAAAAGAUAUCCCAUUUAAUUCGAUCUGGCAGAUUAAGUGAGGCGAGAGCUUUGUUUGAUUCCAUGAAGGAGCGAAAAAUCAUUACCUGGAAUUCAAUGAUCAGUGGAUAUGUUCAACGGAGAGAGAUGGCUAAAGCACGUCAAUUGUUCAAUGAGAUGCCUGAGAGGGAUACUGUGUCUUGGAAUUUGAUGAUAUCGGGCUACAUAUCUUGUCAUGUUAGUCGUUAUGUGGAGGAAGGAAGAAAAUUGUUUGAUCUAAUGCCAGAUAGAGAUUGUGUUUCUUGGAAUACUAUGAUUAGUGGGUAUGCAAAAAAUGGGAUGAUGGAUGAGGCUUUGAAUCUAUUUAAUAGAAUGCCUGAACGUAACAUUGUGUCAUGGAAUGCUAUUAUUACUGGGUUUUUAUUGAAUCGUAAUGUGGCUUUGGCAAUUGAUUUUUUCAAGAAGAUGCCUAAGCGUGAUUCAGCAUCUCUUAGUGCACUUAUAUCAGGACUCAUUCAAAAUGGUGAAUUGGAUGUAGCUGCUAGAACUCUGCAUGAAUAUGGGAACAUUGAUGAAGGAGAAGACGAUUUGGUGCAUGCCUACAACACCCUAAUUGCUGGCUAUGGCCAAAAAGGGAGGGUGGAAGAAGCUCGACGCCUUUUUGAUCAAAUCCCAAAUUAUCAAGGCCAAACAGAUGUAGGUAAAAAUAAAUUUAAACGAAAUAUAGUUUCUUGGAAUUCCAUGAUGAUGUGCUAUGUGAAAGUGGGUGAUAUUCUUUCUGCUAGGGACCUCUUUGAUCAAAUGAUAGAGCGAGAUACCUUCUCUUGGAACACCAUGAUCAAUGGAUAUGUUCAAAUUUCAGCUAUGGAAGAGGCUUCAACCCUUUUUGGUAAGAUGCCAAAUCCUGACACUUUUUCGUGGAAUUCAAUAAUAUCUGGAUUUGCACAGAUAGGUGAUUUAAAGCUUGCAAAAGAUUUCUUUGAGAGGAUGCCUCACAAAAGUCUGAUCUCAUGGAACUCAAUAAUAGCAGGCUAUGAGAAAAAUGGUGACUGUAAGGGUGCUAUUAAGCUCUUCUCUCAGAUGAAACUUGAAGGACACAGACCAGAUAGACACACUUUGUCUUCAGUCCUGAGUGUCUCUACUGGUUUAGUGGAUCUUUACCUUGGUAAGCAGGUACACCAGCUUGUCAUGAAGACUUUUAUUCCAGAUGUGCCGGUAAAUAAUUCCCUAAUCACCAUGUACUCUAGAUGUGGAGCAAUUAUUGAGGCACGUAAUGUAUUUAAUGAGAUGGAUCUAAGGAAGGAUGUGAUCUCUUGGAAUGCAAUGAUUGGAGGCUAUGCAUCUCACGGCUUUGCUGUAGAGGCUUUAGAACUUUUUGAAUUGAUGAAGAGAUCCAAAGUUCACCCUACGUAUAUAUCAUUUAUUUCUGUUUUGAAUGCAUGUGCCCAUGUAGGUUUGGUUGAAGAAGGGAAGAGGCAAUUUAAUUCCAUGAUUAAUGAAUAUGGUAUUGAGCCACGAGUUGAGCACUUUGCCUCCCUUGUGGACAUUGUGGGUCGGCACGGGCAACUUGAGGAAGCUUUAAAUUUGAUAAAUAAUAUGCCAUUUGAACCAGAUAAUGCUGUGUGGGGUGCACUCCUAGGUGCUUGUAGAGUCCACAAUAAUGUAGAAUUAGCCCAAGUAGCAGCUGAAGCUUUGAUCAGGCUUGAACCAAAAAGUUCAGCUCCUUUUGUAUUGUUAUAUAAUAUGUAUGCUGAUCUAGGACAAUGGGAUGAUGCAGAGAAAGUGAGAAUGGCAAUGGAAAGAAGAUCAAUCCAGAAGCAAGCAGGAUAAAUAUGUCACCAUACAGUUCCUUCUGCUUUUAUUGUGAUGCUGAAAUUUACCUUCCUACUUUUCUGUUCAAAUAAGAGCUCCCGCAACCCUGGGGCUGAGGGUGGGUUGGGGAAUGAAAAAGAAUGUGCUUCUAAUUCCACAAACUCAGAAUCAAAGCUCUAAAGUAAUUAAUGUCGUGUUAUAGAACCUUGUCCUUUGACUUGAUUUACGCUGUUAGGUGGAAAAGCAGAGGUUCUGUUAACAGUGUAGGCUUCAAUGGAGAUGGUGAAAUAUUGGUGUCAGGGUGUGAUGACAGGAGAGCUAUCCUCUGGGACUGGGAGAUUGGGCAUAUGAAGUUGUCUUUGCAUUCUGGUCGCAUGAGAAAUGUUUUCCCAGAAAAGUUUAUGCCCCACUCAGAUGACCAACGCAUUGUGACUUGUGGUGGUUAUGGGCAGAUGAUGCGGAGUCGAGCAGGAGGGAGAUUCUCAUUUGUGGCUUAGAGCUAUUACCCGGAGGAGAGCAGAUGACAAGCAUGCAUUGCUGAAUAAAGGGUAAUAAGCGCUCUUCUUUUACCAUUUCAUAGAUUGUAAAAGAGAAUCAUUCAGCGAUAUUGCUAUUGAACAGCGGAUAAACUGGCGUGUUUUGCUUUUGGAGCUUUUCUUAUUUCCUACCUUGCCUUUUGUUGUAAUUAGUUACUGCAAAUCAAAUCAAAUUUUUAUAUAUUUUAUUGCAAUAUCAUUGGAAUAUUUUGUGUGUUA
RNA transcript from Prosopis cineraria, 3137 nucleotides. It is a transcript of the gene named pentatricopeptide repeat-containing protein At1g62260, mitochondrial, with no coding region annotated. NCBI's taxonomy places the organism in Eukaryota, Viridiplantae, Streptophyta, Magnoliopsida, Fabales, Fabaceae. The transcript has 5 exons. The record is from RefSeq and is a predicted model, not a curated record.